UGAUAGUCCCGUACACGAAAAAGCGUUAUUGGUACUAGGCUUGCGACAAGUAGGGCGGGGCACGAGAAACCUUGUCUGAACAUGGGGGGACCAUCCUCCAAGGCUAAAUACUCCUAACUGACCGAUAGUGAACCAGUACCGUGAGGGAAAGGCGAAAAGAACCCCGGAGAGGGGAGUGAAAUAGAUCCUGAAACCGUAUGCGUACAAGCAGUGGGAGCAGACUUGUUCUGUGACUGCGUACCUUUUGUAUAAUGGGUCAGCGACUUAAUUUUAGUAGCAAGGUUAACCGUUUAGGGGAGCCGUAGGGAAACCGAGUCUUAAUAGGGCGCAUAGUUGCUAGGAUUAGACCCGAAACCGAGUGAUCUAGCCAUGCGCAGGUUGAAGGUGCGGUAACACGCACUGGAGGACCGAACCCACCGAUGUUGAA
This 427-nucleotide ribosomal RNA is filed under the name Azadinium spinosum. RNAcentral describes it as "partial Bacterial large subunit ribosomal RNA". It matches the Rfam family "Bacterial large subunit ribosomal RNA", at positions 365 to 793 of the family's 2925-position model. The record is from RNAcentral. Lineage: Eukaryota; Dinophyceae; Gonyaulacales; Amphidomataceae.